GUCUAUUUGACCUAAUACAAUCUUUAAAAGCCUUAGAUGAUUAUGUUUUUUUUUAAAGAUUUUAUUUUUUUCCUUUUUCUCCCCAAAGCCCCCCAAGUACAUAGUUGUAUAUUCGUUGUGGGUCCUUCUAGUUGUGGCAUGUGGGACACCGCCUCAGCGUGGCUUGACGAGCAGUGCCAUGUCCGCGCCCAGGAUUCGAACCAACGAAACACUGGGCCCCCUGCAGCGGAGCGCGCGAACUUAACCACUCGGCCACGGGGCCAGUCCCAGUCCUUAAAAGGAAGAAAUCGGUUUCAGGAUGCAACUCACAGGUCCAUUCCAGAAGGUCAGGAGGUGCAGACGAGUUGAGCUGUUGACUCAGCUGAGACAUGCUCCUAACAUCGUCCUGCUUAAGUGCACGCAUCUUUUCAAGUGCAGCUAACUUACAGCCCAAGACAGAGGUCUGAUUUUUACAGAAGCUCCAAGAACUUCAUGGAGUUUUGUCCUCAAAGCAGACAGGGACGUGGGGCAGCUGCAGGAGAACGGGAGGAGGAGAGAGGCCAGACGGUGCUGGGGCGCGUGCAGAACGAGCGGGUGCCCACCCCAGGGCCCCGCCUUGUGUCUGUGACUCUGGUCUCUAAAGGCUGGCUGUGGAGUGAGACCACGUCAUUCAUUUUCAGCUGGCUUAUCUCCCUCUUGGUUUAUUUGUAGAAAGUUUCCGAAGCGUAUCUGUGAACCCUUAUUCCAUGGGAUGUCAACAAGUGUUACACACACACACACCAAAAAAAAAACAGAAAAAACAACUAUCCACAGUCAAAUAAGCUUCUUUACUGCAGAAUUCUCAGGAAUUCUAGAAUCCCAGGCACACUGCGAAUCAGCACGAGAGGAACCCUGAGUGGACACGCUCAUGUUUACUGGUGAUGACGCUCUUUUCUGCAGAACAUCUGACAGGAACAGCACUGCCUGGAAGGAAGCUCAGGAAACACAGGCUUAGCUUCCUCUCUAAAUCAGUUUAUUCUCUUGUGGAUACCAGGGAUGGCAAGGAAGAUGCUUCAUCACGUAGAACAGAGAAGAAAGUGGUUCUGGGAUUAAACUGUUGUUAUAGGGAACUCACAGAACGGCCAAUUCACGCGGACAAAAUCUCUGAGAACUGACAGUUACCGUUGUGUAACUUCAUA
This 1157-nucleotide long non-coding RNA is filed under the name Equus caballus (horse). RNAcentral's name for it is "lncRNA (ENSECAG00000048672.1)". Lineage: Eukaryota; Metazoa; Chordata; Mammalia; Perissodactyla; Equidae. The record is from RNAcentral.